This 220-nucleotide ribosomal RNA is filed under the name uncultured bacterium. RNAcentral describes it as "partial 16S ribosomal RNA". It matches the Rfam family "Bacterial small subunit ribosomal RNA", at positions 57 to 305 of the family's 1533-position model. The record is from RNAcentral.
GCAAGUCGAGCGCUCUCUUCGGAGGGAGCGGCGGACGGGUGAGUAACGCGUGUGAAUAUGCCCUUCUCUGCGGAAUAGCCUCGGGAAACUGAGAGUAAUACCGCAUACGCCCUUCGGGGGAAAGAUUUAUCGGAGAAGGAUUAGCCCGCGUUAGAUUAGAUAGUUGGUGGGGUAAUGGCCUACCAAGUCUACGAUCUAUAGCUGGUUUUAGAGGAUGAUC